GGCCAACUGGCCCAAUGGCAAGGCGCUUGACUACGAAUCAAGAGUGGGUUACUAUGCUCUUUCAUUAAAUUAUCAUUUCUAACAAUAAAUUAGGAUUGCAGGUUCGAUCCCUGCGUUGGUCA
This is a non-coding RNA of Cladophialophora chaetospira, 122 nucleotides long. Lineage: Eukaryota; Fungi; Ascomycota; Eurotiomycetes; Chaetothyriales; Herpotrichiellaceae. The record is from the annotation of a GenBank genome assembly.